UACAGGGGGUGCAAACGUUGCUCGGAAUUAUUGGGCGUAAAGCGCGCGUAGGCGGCUACUUAAGUCGGAUGUGAAAUCCCUCGGCUCAACUGAGGAACUGCCUUUGAAACUGUCUGGCUUGAGGCCGGGAGAGGGUAGCGGAAUUCCCAGUGUAGCGGUGAAAUUCGUAGAUAUCGGGAGGAACACCAGUGGCGAAGGCGGCGAUCUGGGUCGAAACUGACGCUGAGGUGCGAAAGCGUGGGGAGCAAACAGG
RNAcentral lists this ribosomal RNA (253 nucleotides) under uncultured bacterium. Its description in RNAcentral is "partial 16S ribosomal RNA". It matches the Rfam family "Bacterial small subunit ribosomal RNA", at positions 524 to 776 of the family's 1533-position model. The record is from RNAcentral.